UGAGGAAUAUUGGGCAAUGGGCGGAAGCCUGACCCAGCAACGCCGCGUGAAGGAAGACGGCCUUCGGGUUGUAAACUUCUUUUUUGGGGGAAGAGAGAGGACGGUACCCCAAGAAUAAGUCACGGCUAAAUACGUGCCAGCAGCCGCGGUAAUACGUAGGUGACAAGCGUUAUCCGGAAUUACUGGGCGUAAAGCGCACGCAGGCGGUGAGUUAAGUCUGACGUGAAAUUUCCAGGCUUAACUGGGAGGGGGCGUUGGAGACUGGCGUGCUUGAGGCGAUGAGAGGGGUGUAGAAUUCCCGGUGUAGUGGUGGAAUGCGUAGAUAUCGGGAGGAAUACCAGUGGCGGAAGCGACACCCUGGCAUUAGCCUGACGCUCAGGUGCGAAGGCGUGGGGAUCGAACG
RNAcentral lists this ribosomal RNA (403 nucleotides) under uncultured prokaryote. Its description in RNAcentral is "bacterial SSU rRNA". It matches the Rfam family "Bacterial small subunit ribosomal RNA", at positions 355 to 774 of the family's 1533-position model. The record is from RNAcentral.